UAGUCAUAUGCUUGUCUCAAAGAUUAAGCCAUGCAUGUCUAAGUAUAAGCAAUCUAUACGGUGAAACUGCGAAUGGCUCAUUAAAUCAGUUAUCGUUUAUUUGAUAGUACCUUACUACUUGGAUAACCGUGGUAAUUCUAGAGCUAAUACAUGCUAAAAACCCCGACUUCGGAAGGGGUGUAUUUAUUAGAUAAAAAACCAAUGCCCUUCGGGGCUCCUUGGUGAUUCAUAAUAACUUGACGAAUCGCAUGGCCUUGUGCCGGCGAUGGUUCAUUCAAAUUUCUGCCCUAUCAACUUUCGAUUGUAAGGUAGUGGCUUACAAUGGUUUCAACGGGUAACGGGGAAUUAGGGUUCUAUUCCGGAGAGGGAGCCUGAGAAACGGCUACCACAUCCAAGGAAGGCAGCAGGCGCGCAAAUUACCCAAUCCCGACACGGGGAGGUAGUGACAAUAAAUACUGAUACAGGGCUCUUUUGGGUCUUGUAAUUGGAAUGAGUACAAUUUAAAUCCCUUAACGAGGAACAAAU
This 525-nucleotide ribosomal RNA is filed under the name uncultured eukaryote. RNAcentral describes it as "SSU rRNA". It matches the Rfam family "Eukaryotic small subunit ribosomal RNA", at positions 21 to 549 of the family's 1831-position model. The record is from RNAcentral.